CAGGAGGGUGCUGAGCAGGACAGAGGUGGUACCAUAGCUGUUCUCGGCCUGAGAACAAACCUUUGGUUUGGGGCUUAGGGCUGCCAGAAGUCACGGCAAAUGGGGCCAGGUGCAGUGGUUCAUGCCUGUAAUCCCAGCACUUUGGGAGGCUGAGGCGGGCGGAUUAAAAGGCCAGGAGAUGGAGACCAUCUUGGCCAACAUGGUGAAACCCCGUCUCUACUAAAA
Molecule: long non-coding RNA, 225 nt
Organism: Sapajus apella (tufted capuchin)
Lineage: Eukaryota; Metazoa; Chordata; Mammalia; Primates; Cebidae
Exons: 2
Source: RefSeq, a predicted model, not a curated record